RNAcentral lists this ribosomal RNA (834 nucleotides) under uncultured Actinomycetes bacterium. RNAcentral describes it as "bacterial SSU rRNA". It matches the Rfam family "Bacterial small subunit ribosomal RNA", at positions 28 to 869 of the family's 1533-position model. The record is from RNAcentral. Lineage: Bacteria; Bacillati; Actinomycetota; Actinomycetes.
GAUGAACGCUGGCGGCGUGCUUAACACAUGCAAGUCGAACGAGGUCCAGCCGACCUUCGGGAAAGCGAAGAUCUAGUGGCGAACGGGUGCGUAACACGUGAGAAACCUGCCCCAGACUUGGGAAUAACAGUCGGAAACGUCUGCUAAUACCGAAUACCUUCGUAACGUCGCAUGGCGAAUCGAAGAAAGCUUUUGCGGUUUGGGAGGGUCUCGCGGCCUAUCAGCUAGUUGGUGAGGUAACGGCACACCAAGGCAUCGACGGGUAGCUGGUCUGAGAGGAUGAUCAGCCACACUGGGACUGAGACACGGCCCAGACUCCUACGGGAGGCAGCAGUGGGGAAUAUUGCACAAUGGGCGAAAGCCUGAUGCAGCAACGCCGCGUGCGGGAAGAAGGCCUUAGGGUUGUAAACCGCUUUCAGCAGGGAAGAAACUGACGGUACCUGCAGAAGAAGGUGCGGCCAACUACGUGCCAGCAGCCGCGGUGACACGUAGGCACCAAGCGUUAUCCGGAUUUAUUGGGCGUAAAGAGCUCGUAGGCGGUUCGGUAAGUCGGGUGUGAAAACUCUGGGCUCAACCCAGAGAGGCCACCCGAUACUGCUGUGACUAGAGUGCGGUAGGGGAGCGGGGAAUUCCUGGUGUAGCGGUGAAAUGCGCAGAUAUCAGGAGGAACACCAGUGGCGAAGGCGCCACUCUGGGCCGUAACUGACGCUGAGGAGCGAAAGCAUGGGUAGCAAACAGGAUUAGAUACCCUGGUAGUCCAUGCCGUAAACGUUGGGCACUAGGUGUGGGUCUCAACCAACGAGAUCCGCGCCGUCGCUAACGCAUUAAGUGCCC